UGUCGUCCUGCAAUUAAACAGCGAGAGGGUGAAAAAUCAACAGAUUGAUGAGGAGACUAAAGUUUACUCUGCUGUGGUCUUCACCAUGAGGAAAGAUAACCGUGGUGCAGUGAAGGAUGCAAAAGUAGCGCAGAGGAAAAGGAUGUGUGCUGCUGUGAAGGAUUUUGGUUUGAAUUAGUGAGUGAAAAGGUCUGUUUGGCUACAUGUGAUUUAGCUGAUUUAGUUUGUUUAAAGCUUAAGAAAAUGCUGAUUACCUCCAAAUAUCUACACUUAGAUAACUUAAGGAGGUGCUAUGAAUAUUCUAUCACUCAGGUUGUGACUGUAUUGGUAUGUGUAUGCAAAUGAUAUUCUAUAAUUCAUAAUAAAAUGUAUUUGUCAAACCUCCUUGGAUUAAAGGACUGUAACAUUCAGGCUUA
Molecule: non-coding RNA, 416 nt
Organism: Labrus bergylta (ballan wrasse)
Lineage: Eukaryota; Metazoa; Chordata; Actinopteri; Labriformes; Labridae
Source: RefSeq, a predicted model, not a curated record